UUUCUCAUCAACAAACAUUGUACAAAAAAAAGUACUGAAUAAAAGUAUUGCCUAUGUUGUUGUUCACACCUAUGUAUUUACUAGAAUGUCUGAGAGGGCUGUACUGUAUAUAUGACUUUAAAUUUUAGUUGAUUUAUUUAUUAACCUUGAAAAGAGUAAGUACUUCUUAGUGAAAGCAAUUCUUACAGCUUUGUUUUCAACCAACUAAAAAUGAUAUCACUCUUACAUAUUGUCCUCCAUAUUCUGAGGUCUUAAAUGUACUUUUUUCUGAUUUGUAUUUAUGUCCUGAGACAGAGAUUUUUGGAAAAGAAAAUAAACCUACAGUUAAAAGAAAAAAGAAAACAAUGAAAAUAGAAGCUGAGCUUAGCUGAGGAUAUGAAUAACGAAAAGCAACCACCUUACCGCAAAACAACUCUAAGAAGUAGGAUUAUCAUCACUCAAUUUACAGGCAUCCAUGUCCUCCAGGAUAUAAAGGAAGAAGUUGAGGGAUGGAUGCAGAGUAUACUAUUCUCCACCAUUACAAAUUGGGCACCUUUGCUUUUGAAUGAGUGACCACAGCCCUGGAAACUUGUAUGCUUUGCUAAUUGAGGGCAGAUGAGCCUCAGGUCAAUCCCCCAUCAAUUAUCCACUCAACAACAAUAAAAUGCUAACUUGUAUGCCCUAA
This is a long non-coding RNA of Homo sapiens (human), 664 nucleotides long. RefSeq lists it as uncharacterized. The transcript is spliced from 2 exons. The record is from RefSeq and is a predicted model, not a curated record. NCBI's taxonomy places the organism in Eukaryota, Metazoa, Chordata, Mammalia, Primates, Hominidae.